RNAcentral lists this ribosomal RNA (514 nucleotides) under Vibrio sp. sw1. Its description in RNAcentral is "bacterial SSU rRNA". It matches the Rfam family "Bacterial small subunit ribosomal RNA", at positions 371 to 877 of the family's 1533-position model. The record is from RNAcentral. Lineage: Bacteria; Pseudomonadati; Pseudomonadota; Gammaproteobacteria; Vibrionales; Vibrionaceae.
AUGGGCGCAAGCCUGAUGCAGCCAUGCCGCGUGUAUGAAGAAGGCCUUCGGGUUGUAAAGUACUUUCAGUCGUGAGGAAGGYGUUGUAGUUAAUAGCYGCAUCRUUUGACGUUAGCGACAGAAGAAGCACCGGCUAACUCCGUGCCAGCAGCCGCGGUAAUACGGAGGGUGCGAGCGUUAAUCGGAAUUACUGGGCGUAAAGCGCAUGCAGGUGGUUUGUUAAGUCAGAUGUGAAAGCCCGGGGCUCAACCUCGGAAUAGCAUUUGAAACUGGCAGACUAGAGUACUGUAGAGGGGGGUAGAAUUUCAGGUGUAGCGGUGAAAUGCGUAGAGAUCUGAAGGAAUACCGGUGGCGAAGGCGGCCCCCUGGACAGAUACUGACACUCAGAUGCGAAAGCGUGGGGAGCAAACAGGAUUAGAUACCCUGGUAGUCCACGCCGUAAACGAUGUCUACUUGGAGGUUGUGGCCUUGAGCCGUGGCUUUCGGAGCUAACGCGUSAAGUAGACCGCCUGGG